Molecule: ribosomal RNA, 785 nt
Filed under: uncultured bacterium
Lineage: Bacteria
Description: bacterial SSU rRNA
Rfam family: Bacterial small subunit ribosomal RNA
Source: RNAcentral
CGGCGCGCUUAACACAUGCAAGUCGAGCGAGAACCCAGGGCUUCGACCCUGGGGAAAGCGGCGAACGGGUGAGUAACACGUGAGUAACCUGUCCUCGGCACCGGGAUAGCCCGGGGAAACCCGGAUUAAUACCGGAUGGCCUUUCGAGCUCUCGGGCUCGUUAGAAAAGGUAGCUUCGGCCUCCGGCCGAGGAGGGACUCGCGGCGGAUUAGCUUGUUGGUGAGGUAACGGCUCACCAAGGCGACGAUCCGUAGCUGGUCUGAGAGGACGAUCAGCCACACUGGGACUGAGACACGGCCCAGACUCCUACGGGAGGCAGCAGUGGGGAAUCUUGCGCAAUGGGCGAAAGCCUGACGCAGCGACGCCGCGUGCGGGAAGAAGGCCUUCGGGUUGUAAACCGCUUUCAGGAGGGACGAAGCCACUCGGGUUAAUAGCCCAGAGGGUGACGGUACCUCCAGAAGAAGCCCCGGCUAACUACGUGCCAGCAGCCGCGGUAAUACGUAGGGGGCAAGCGUUGUCCGGAUUUAUUGGGCGUAAAGAGCGUGUAGGCGGCCAGACAGGUCCGUUGUGAAAACUCGAGGCUCAACCUCGAGACGUCGACGGAAACCGUCUGGCUAGAGUCCGGAAGAGGAGUGUGGAAUUCCUGGUGUAGCGGUGAAAUGCGUAGAGAUCGGGAGGAACAUCAGUGGCGAAGGCGGCCAUCUGGGACAACACUGACGCUGAAGCACGAAAGCGUGGGGAGCAAACAGGAUUAGAUACCCUGGUAGUCCACGCCCUAAACGAUG